GCUCUUCACGAUGACGAAGAAGAGUCCUUGUUCCAUUCAAGCUUUAUUCGACCUUUGUAAGCAGACUUUUGCGCCUUCUGCAACUUCAUCACCUUCUUCUCAAGCUAUCCACAAGCUUUAUUCGCUUUUGGAUACGAUUGGUCCUGAAGAUGUUGGACUGAAAGAUGAAAGCCGAGAGGAUGAAAGAGGUCAUGGUCUUUUUGGACUCAAUGUCUUCAACAGGGUGGAUCGCUGGGCUCAACCGAUUACAUAUGUGGAUAUACACGAGGGUCAAAACUUUACUAUGUGCAUGUUUUGUUUCCCAACUUCUGCUGUCAUUCCAUUGCAUGACCAUCCUGGAAUGACUGUUUUGAGCAAAGUCCUCUAUGGAUCCUUGCACGUGAAAGCUUAUGAUUGGGUUGAGCCAGCUUGCAUCAGGAAAAGUGAACGUGCUGGUCAUCCUACAGUGAGACUGGCUAGGUUGGCGGUUGAUAAGGUCGUAAGUGCACCACAUGGUACAUCGGUUUUGCAUCCCAAGAGUGGAGGGAAUCUGCACUGUUUUACUGCCGUUACACCUUGUGCAGUUCUUGACAUUCUUGCUCCUCCUUAUCUUGAAGCAGCUGGCAGAAGAUGUACCUACUACCAUGAUUAUCCUUAUUCCAGCUUUGCACAUGGAGAUGAAAUUGUUGAUAAUGGAAAGGAACAAGAAUAUGCAUGGCUUGCUGUGGUUGAUACCCCAGAGGAUCUGUACAUGCGCCCAGGAAGGUACAUGGGUCCAGACAUCCAGAGGUAGCAAUAUACGUUUUCCUGCAUUUGCUUAAGUAUGGAGUGUGGAUGUUCAUGGAGCCCUUUUACUGUGAGCCUACCCAAGAUUGACCUAUAAAUGAUGCUUAACUGAUGUGUAUCUUUUUUUUUCUUCAUAAUCUUCAAGAAGGCUGUUGAUCAUGUUGUUAGAAUCAUGAAAAUGCUACAGUAUUAUAUUGUAGUCAAGUCUUUGGCAUUGUAUAUUGGAGUUUGUAUUAGUUCCCGCACUGGGUAUGUUGUUGUAUCAGUUCCAUAUGAUCCAUCAUCUGCUACCCCCGGCAUGUCAACAAAGUAUUUCACUUUUGAGA
This 1091-nucleotide unclassified non-coding RNA is filed under the name Hevea brasiliensis (rubber tree). The record is from RNAcentral. Lineage: Eukaryota; Viridiplantae; Streptophyta; Magnoliopsida; Malpighiales; Euphorbiaceae.